UACCUUGUUAUGUUAUUCAUCCAUCAUGAGCCUUCUCAUUUUGAUGCUUGAAGGACUACGAUAUAGUUCGACAUGCUGCACGUCUGAUGUAAUAUUAACUCUCGUGCAAUACUUCACUUCAUAAGAAAUGUCCCUUGAAAAGAAACACAGUGCAGUUCCGCAUUCUGCUUUUUCAGAAAUAGAUCUUGAGGGUGUCAUUGAACCAGACACGGACGAGCCACAGGAAAUGGGAGAUCCGGAUAAUGUUGAGGUGACGGAAGAGAUGAUGGACAUGGCCAAU
This is a long non-coding RNA of Hippocampus comes (tiger tail seahorse), 280 nucleotides long. RefSeq lists it as uncharacterized. The transcript has 2 exons. The record is from RefSeq and is a predicted model, not a curated record. NCBI's taxonomy places the organism in Eukaryota, Metazoa, Chordata, Actinopteri, Syngnathiformes, Syngnathidae.